Pimephales promelas (fathead minnow) is the source of this 1699-nucleotide non-coding RNA. NCBI's taxonomy places the organism in Eukaryota, Metazoa, Chordata, Actinopteri, Cypriniformes, Leuciscidae. The record is from RefSeq and is a predicted model, not a curated record.
UGCAAAACGGCAACAGCUUACCAUGCAUGUUUGUACGUUUUUGUGUUUACAGCAGCCAUUGAAAGGGAGUGGGCCAGCCAGCAGUGACACCUGGAACCCAUUCAGGACUCACCAGGCAUGGCCAUGUACAGGGUUGCUCGCACCACGACCAUCAACAGUGUGGACCUCCACUAUUAUAAGGGCCUGCGUGGGAGCAACAGCCUGGAGGGGUUCCUUAAGUCGCUGCCCCAUAUGAUUUCAGGUCCCCACUAUGCGGCACCGCCUUACCAGGUCUACCUCAUCAGUGGAAUACCCAGGUGGAUCACAGUGGGGGCCCAAGAGACUUUUGUGUGAGGCCAAAGUGCUAUUGAUGUCCUGAAGGGAGCAGCAGGUAUGGACAAGAACCAGGUGCAUCUAUUCAAAAACCCAGCAACAGUGGAUCAUGUCUAGCAGAACCAGCAGAAACACCUAGAGUGGAUCCAGGACCCACCAGGGAGGAAUACGUACCAUGGUACAUGGUACACGGCGGUAAGAGGCAGCAACAGCCUUUAAAGUCUUCAUUUCUUUCUGCCCAGAAUCAUUCUUGGGCCACAUUGUACCGCUGUCCCCUUCUGGCUGGGAUCGCACACUGGAACAGCAAUCAGGAGUCAGCAGCGGUUAAAGGCCAAAAGACGAAGCAGCACCUGGUCUACGUGUCACCUCUUGUCCAUUGGUUCAACCAGAGGUGCCAGGAGCUUUUAUGGGAGUGUGGAGGAGGUUAAUUACAGGUCGCCUGUUCCCCCUGGUGAUGAGUGUAUUGGACUUGAGUAUUUGUUUGCCCAGUUGUCAGACUCUUUCAGUAAUCCUGACCUUUACGGAAGAACCGCCUGAAGUACUGCCUAAUUAAACAGCUGUGGCUUCACCCCAACUGUGGAGCGAAGACUUGUGGGUCACCACAAAAUCAGGAAGUCACCAAGCUGUACCAGUGUGUCCAGCAAAUGGUGACUGUUGAUGACCCUGAAUUCAGCAAGCCCGGGAUUCCCAUCGUGGAAAAUUAACACCAAAAGUGUUGCUGAGUUCAUCAGGAGACAGGAGGCCUUGUCGACCAAAAAUGUCACAGAUCAAGGCCUAUCCAUCCGUCAGCAGUCUCUUUCUGACAGCCAACCCCCAGCACCGAAGCUUCCUGAUGAACUGCCCCACACCAGCCGGUCUCAAGAACAGUAUGAGGUCACUCUGUCUCUGGCAGAUACCAGGAGACUAAAAAAAAGAGAGUCCCUUGUAGUUUGCCUCCAUCCUCCACCCAGCCAGAGCUGUUUUGUUCCACUCUGCCAGCUCAGUCACCACCCUGUUGCUCCACUCUGCCAUCGCUGUUUAUCCACUCUGCCACACGUCGUUGCAGAUCAAAAAGGAGAUCACAGUGGCACAGCUACAGUUAAAGUGCACAUCUGAGCAUGGUGUGCCCAACCCACUCAAGGCCACAAAAAGUACAGAAAAGAGACAUACUGCGAUACUUUUAAAUCAUCCACGUCCACAGAUCUUGCUGGACAGACAGAAUUUUGAAGAUUUUAAAAAGGCAGUGGACAUUGUCUAGGACUCUCAGUCCCAGGCCUGUGAGCUAUACAAUAGCUGUUGGACUAUUGUCAUGUUUAUUAUUUGUAAUGUGAUUGGCAUUUAAUAUAAAUAAUAAAAACGUAUCAGGAAGCUUUUCAGUUUUCAGAAAAACUCCAAAACAAAACCACAA